Phyllopteryx taeniolatus (common seadragon) is the source of this 4308-nucleotide RNA transcript. RefSeq lists it as uncharacterized. NCBI's taxonomy places the organism in Eukaryota, Metazoa, Chordata, Actinopteri, Syngnathiformes, Syngnathidae. The transcript is spliced from 8 exons. The record is from RefSeq and is a predicted model, not a curated record.
UGCCAGUCCUCCUCUUCCUCUUUCUCUCAUGAAUUUGACUGCCGCUCUUGCAGCCUGGCCCCCUUUAUUUCCCUCAGCUGGAGGAGCUGAAAACAUCCACACGCACGCCGACACGGGCAUCAUGACCCUACACAAGGAGACGGUAUAUGCUGUUCAAUGCAGUCAGCAACGUUUUCUUCAAUUUUGCGGCAGAAGAAAUUUCACAACGUGAGGAAUCUUCAAGGAACUGUUUUUUUUUUUUUUUUUUUUCCCCCGACUUCAAAGUGAAGUUUCUGUAAAUUCAGGAACAGUGGCAACAUGAGUGUCAAAAGGAAAAAGAGUGGGUUGAUCAUCAGUUGGCAGAAGUCAUUCUCCAUCCUGGCUCCUUGGAGGAAAGGCAAAGGAGCCCGAGACACAGUACUGGACAGUGCAGUUGUGUUGACAAAAAUGAAGCUAUACAGCAACUUCAAUGAGAGGCUUUCAGAGGUGGAAAACUUCCAUUCCACCCUCCCAGCAGCUUCAGAACAGAAGUUCUCACAGCACUCCAAAGAAUCUUUGUCGGUUUCCCACACUGAUGACAAGUCAGGACAGCAUCAAACCCACACAAAUGCAGACUACCUGUCAGACAUUUUCUCAGGCUCUCAGCUGACAACGUUCUACAAGUUUGAGUCAGAGGACUCUGGAGUGGAGUUGUCGAGUGGUAACUCUACAUCUACGCCAACGGGCUCUGACCAGAACUUUGCUGUCCACAGUCGUGAGUCAUCCCGUGACUCAUCUAAUUCAAACUCCAACCCACCAACACAGUCUGACGAGAAAAUAAGACAUAGACAGACCACCGACCUCUCACAGCCAGAGGUUGAGAUCAGCUCUCCAGCCUCUAGAACUGAUCUGGAAAUGGAUCCGUCUAGUGUGUCUCCAAUGAACCCCGGGAGCGAUGAGGAAAUGAUUGAAAAGCUCGAGAAGGAGGAGAACUUCAAGCCCGGGAAACAAUCAUUAUCAGAAACCUAUAAUAACAAGGCAGACAAUGACAUCGAGUCUUUAAAGGGGAGUGGCACUUGCGACAGCUUUGUCAAGUACAUGGACAAAUGCUGCAUACUCAGUGAGACACAGCAAUCAAGCUCCAAUCCUUUGGGGUCAGGACUUGGGUACUUGGAGCACAUCUGCCAACUCAUCGAGAAAAUUGGCCAGCUGCAGGAGAACAACCUUCGUCUUCAGAGGCAGAUCUGUUGCUUGCAGAAGGACGGCAGAAUGACAAAGACGAAAGAGGACUUCUUCCAACACCAUUGCAGCUGUGGCGCAGCCACUCUGGCCUUUGAAGACAUGGAUGACGUUUUGUCACGUAGCGGAACGCUCGCUGAUCUGUCCACCAUUCCAGAGGUCUCGCGGCACCCACUCCUGUCUUCCAACAGUAAUACUUUACCACUUUACUCCAUCUUGAUCCUGCUCUCAGUUGCAGAUGUGAGUUGCAACGGUUGGACACCGAUCCCUCUGCGGAAGAGACGUCUCAACCGCAUGAGUUACCACGAGGGGGAUGCCUUCCUCUGUGAAAGCACCGAAGAGCUUUCCAUCCCUCGUCGGCCGGUAAACCACACGUUUCUACUGCCUUAUAAUGAGAUGCAUGCCAACCAUUUUGACUGUAUUGAGUUUACAGUGAUUACGACACAUGGGGCAGAGUCAAGGACCUGGUGAAGAGAACGAAUAUGCGGAACAAGAGCAAACUGGGAUUGAGCACAUCCUCACUGAAGAUGUCAUGUCCUCAACUCUACAGGCCUGAUCUGGGACGAAAGGAACCCGCUGACAGAAACAGGAACUCCAUGAUUGUCUUGGGACACCCUAACAAAUUGUACGUCCCUUGGCUACAAUAAAUUACGAGGUAGUGCAAACUGUUGACAACUUUAUGUACCAGUUCCACGCACUUUAAAGGUCUUUAGAAGCAUCAUCAAAAGCAGGGGAUUGUUAAAAUUUUGGUUACUUGCGAGAUAUUUUUCCAAGGACCGCCUCAUAAUUGCAACACAAAUGAAACAUAAACAGUAUUGUGCAAUUCUGUCUCAAGGAUCAGCAAACUGCAAGCAUAUUAUGAUGCUGACUGAGGAAUAAACACGCACGACAGGCUUCCUUUGUCAAAGUGGACAAAAAAAACCUAUUUCAACUGUCAACUGGAACACUGUGUCAUGUGAAGACAGUGACCCCAAGUGGACAACAAUCAUAUCCGCACCUCAUAUACACGCAUACAGUACAGUAUUAAUUAGUAAUGCGCUAUACGUGUGUAACAUUACAUUUAAACUUGGGACAGCACACUUUGGGAGACAUGAGCACCUCAAAUGACCCAGAAAAUUGAAAGGAGCUUUGUCAUUGCUGAUAUGGCAUGACUCCUUCUUGUGACUGGCUCCAAAGUCAGCCCUGCUUUGAUCAUUCACAAGCUCCAAAAUUGCAUUGCUCAAUAGACGUUAUGUCGUGAUAGCGUUUGUUUGUAUUUCCAAAAUAUUCACGCACACCCAGUUAGUGGAUCAACUUCAGCAUCUGUUUGUGCGAGCAAUAAAGUUUGCGACCAUUUUUGCAUAUGCAACCCUUUAGUACACAGAGAGCAAAGUACUGGGGUCCAAAUCCGGCCCGCCACAUCAUUUUAUGUGGUCCGCUAAAGCAAGUCAAUUUCUACUUCACAUUUCUUGGUAAAAUCUGUACCAUUAUUGCAAAUUUUAUCCCCUUUUAAUAAUGAGAUACUCCAAGCGUUUUUUUUUUAAUUAUUAUUAUUAUUACCAAACACCCUUUUUAAAAAUAGUACUUGAACAAACUAUUAUAGUGGUUUUCAAAACUAGUUAUCCAUCAAUUUGUUGUGUACAGUGGAUGACCACGAUCCACUCUCAACUGUAUCGGGGAUAGGGACUGGACCCGAUCGUGAACAGCAAAAAUCUGUGAAUAAUUAGCGUUCAUUAGAAUUGCCAUGAAAAAAAAUUCUGAUUUGUUUUUUUUCAGGGGGGAAACAUUUUUUUUCCCCCUGAAAAAAAAUUGCAAUAAGCAGGGGAUUGGGUAAAAUAAAUGUAAAUAAGCAGGGAUAGGGAAAAAAUAUAUUUUGAAUAAACCAGGGUUUUCUCAAAUAACCGAGGAUAGGUUCCCCCCCCCCCCCACAAAAUUUGCGACUACGUGAAUCUGGGAAUGCUCUACCCUAAAUAUGGAUUAGGAUGGAGCGCAUGGCAGAUGAUUCAGGACUGGGAACAGAAAAUGGGAGCAGCGAAGAAGACGAUAUAAUUAGGGAAUUAACAGGAAGAUUCCAGAAUGAGCUGUGCUGUAGCUGCACAGUAUGUGAGUGUGAUGGUCAAACUAUAAAGACUGUGACUUCAAAUUUAGGGAAAGAAAGUGUCCUGUCUUUAUACUUUUUUUUUUCCCCAUUCCAUUCCUGUUGGAAUCUUAAUCGUACUCGCAUUCCCUCGAGAUAUCCUUCAUGUUUUGUCUUCGCACAUCUGCAAAACUUGGCCAUUUGUAUCUCAUGAACAACGGGCCAAAUGAUGCACGUUGAACUAUGCAACAAUACGGGUAUGAAAGUGAUAAUACAAGAUUUCAAUAAAUAAAACUCUUGAUCAAUAAAUCAAGAAAAAGGCUCAUUUCAAAUCAAAAUAUGUUCAUUCAGUCAAACGUAACGCAAAAAGGAAAAAUGGAACUUGAUUUUAUUUUAUGGGGCAUUUUCAUAUAAUUGGAUCAAUAACGGUAAAGACGUACCGCACAAAAUUUAUUUUUGAAACUCGAUUGAGUAUUUUAAUUAUUGACAGUUGUUAUUAUUCAAAAGGUAAACAUGGUUUCUUAGAAAAAAGUUAUAAAGUAAUCUUUUUUACACUUCUAAUGCCAACAUGUCUUUCCCAUUUUGGUUUUAUCUCAUUUUGUCUCUAUCUAUCCAUCCAUCCAUCCAUCCAUCCAUCCAUUUUCUGAGCCGCUUCCCCUCACCAGGGUCGCGGUCACAAACAAACAAACAACCAUCCGCACUCACAUUCACACCUACGGGCAAUUUAGAGUCGUCUAUUAACCUAGCAUGCAUGUUUUUGGGAUGUGGGAGGAAACCGGAGUGCCCGGAGAAAAGCCACGCAGGCGGGGCCGGGGAUUGAACCCAGGUCCUCAGAACUGUGAGGCAGACGCUCCAACCAGUCGUCCACCGUGCUGCCCAUUUUGUCUCUCACAUGGUUAAAUGCAGCUGUGUGUUCUUUUCUUUUCUGUAUUUUAAUUAAUAUUGUAAGGAAAUAAAAUAUUCCUAUGAUUUUUGUAUAUCUGUCUGACAACUUUUCUUGAUAUUGUAUGUUGCAGUAUGCAUAUUACAUCGACAUUAAAUGCAUUUUCCAAAUA